ACUGCUGACAUUUUAAGCUGAAUUACACUUUGAGAAUGGAGAUCCGUCCUCUCAAUAUAAUGCUGAAAUGUUACGUAACUCUGGAGGAGCAUAACUGCUACUCAGGUAACGGAAACUACAUCAGAAAGGGGUGACCGCGAGAGCAAGGGCCACUGCCUCAGGCGCUUUGGUGACGAAGAGAGCAUUUGUUCACUCCUGAAUCCAUCCCAAACAGGACCGAGUGCUCUCCUGCUGCUGAAGAGUUUAAAGGCCGCAAGCAGCACUGUUACAGAGAACCCAGUAAACAAGAACUCUCAAAACACAGUGAGCUAAAGGGGGUCGAGAAUUCAGUGUGUUAGAGUUUACUGUAUUUCAUUGUCACGAGUUAACAGAAAAAAAAUGACUAUAGAUGUAAUAUCAGAACUUCAGAGCGAAGAACACAAAUCCUGCAAUCAAAGUGAUUUCCUAGGUGGGACUGAAACAAGGUAACAAAUGAUAAUGCAGAAUCGGGUCAAGAACUCAGAGCAGGUCAAGCAUGACACAAACCAGAAUUAAUGAUCAGACUGUAAUGCGCAUGACAGAGAAUCAAGACUUUAUAGCUAAAGCAGACACGUGCAUUUCAAUCUCCAAAAUUUUUGUGAAACACAAGCGAAAACACUAUUGAGAUUAACAUUCUGGUGAAAGGGAACAUUGAUGAUUAUUUCUGUGGGAGACCAAAGCAAAAUAGUGUUUCACGGAACAACAUAAACUAGCCAUGUAGCUAGUAUGCAAAUGUUGAGCAAGCCAGAAAUCUAAGCGAUGAUAGUCUUCUUUUCCCUGCGCUAUGUAAUCAGUUAUACCGCAGAAAAAAACUACAUCAGGUUUCAAUUCAAUGGUUUGCAAUUACAAAAUAUUGCAUGUGUAUUUUUAAUUAUUUUAUUUGAGUCCUGACCUGAGGAAAUUGUAAUUUUUCUGUAACAUCUCUUGUAUUUUGAAGGGAAAAAAAUCUAAUCAAAUACAGUCGCACUUUACACGUUG
This is a long non-coding RNA of Brienomyrus brachyistius, 996 nucleotides long. RefSeq lists it as uncharacterized. The transcript is spliced from 2 exons. The record is from RefSeq and is a predicted model, not a curated record. NCBI's taxonomy places the organism in Eukaryota, Metazoa, Chordata, Actinopteri, Osteoglossiformes, Mormyridae.